Labrus bergylta (ballan wrasse) is the source of this 432-nucleotide non-coding RNA. Lineage: Eukaryota; Metazoa; Chordata; Actinopteri; Labriformes; Labridae. The record is from RefSeq and is a predicted model, not a curated record.
UUAUUGGUAAGCGGCACAUUUCACAAUUUGUUCUCAUAAUUACUAAGUAUUAACAAGAAAGCUUUAUGAAUGGGUAAGUAGUGAAGAAAACGUCCUCUGGAGAGCUUAAAUAUGUGAAAAAUGAAUUAUUAUUACAUUAUGUCUGAAUUUACUAAAAUAAUAAUCUCGUUUGAAGUGGAGCUUCAACCAUAAUCCCAUAUUGUCCUUUGUAUGUUUCAGUGAUUUUGCCAGUCUUCAUCGCCACCAUUGUCGUCUUCCUGGUGCUAGUAUGUGCUCUACUCUUUGUUAUCAGGGCUCAGAGGACUCAACACAACCUGCUUAAGAGUCAGGGGUCAGGUAAUGCCAGCACAGUUGCCAUGAGCCAACAUCUACCAAGUGGAGAAGGAAACGAGGAACCCAACAAAACAGAUGAGGACAUUUAUGUCAACACCU